Molecule: ribosomal RNA, 301 nt
Filed under: uncultured bacterium
Lineage: Bacteria
Description: partial 16S ribosomal RNA
Rfam family: Bacterial small subunit ribosomal RNA
Source: RNAcentral
CAGUCGCCGCGGGAAUACGAAGGGGGCUAGCGUUGUUCGGAUUUACUGGGCGUAAAGGGCGCGUAGGCGGACUGAUAAGUCAGGGGUGAAAUCCCAAGGCUCAACCUUGGAACUGCCUUUGAUACUGUUUGUCUUGAGUUCGAGAGAGGUAAGUGGAACUGCGAGUGUAGAGGUGAAAUUCGUAGAUAUUCGCAAGAACACCAGUGGCGAAGGCGGCUUACUGGCUCGAAACUGACGCUGAGGCGCGAAAGCGUGGGGAGCAAACAGGAUUAGAUACCCGCGUAGUCCCUGUCUCUUAUAC